GUGUAUUUCUUUUUGUUCAUCUUGCAAAAUAUUUUAGACAAUUUUAGCACGAUGCACGAAUAUUUCUAUCUGUUGUAGACAUAUUGUAAAAACGUUUGUAACUUGUUUUAUUACUAUUCUUAUAUAAGAUGUUAGGCUUUUAUUUAUAAAAGUAUUGGUUCCCGCAUACAGGGCGCAGCAAAGCUUGCCGCGUGGCGGACUUCAAAAAGUCCCCUCCUAAACUUAUUAUUCCCCUAAACAAUCCCCAGGGAAAAUUAAAAAACCCCAAAUUUGGGGGAAAAUCCCCCAACUUGGCAACACUGGUUCACGCUCGAAAUUAUACAUACAUCAGGCGAGAAAUGGAAGGACGGUUACGUUAUAGAAAAUACCGGCCCGCGCUCAUACACAGUGAGGUUGCCGGACAGACGGAUUUGGAAACGUCGUAUAGAUCAGUUACGACGACGAGAGGUUCGCCUAGAGGAGGACAGUUACGAGAAAACAUCACCACAAAGCAUGACGACCCUGGAGUCACACACUCUGGCAGCACCAGAUCCGACGGCAGAGGAGCAGCCUAUCAUCGAGCCGCCGAUUCCGCUCUCGGAAUCAAUACAAUUUACUCUGACCAAUCAGGAAAAUAUCGCAAUCACGUGAUCAUUGGCGCAUCUCUGUUAUACUAUAGGAUCUCUAGUUUGUGUGGUUAGUUUCUAAGUACGAACCUAUUUUGAAGAAAAUUUAGCUGUUUGCUCGGUCGCGCCAAUCACUGUUUGAUGGUCGUUGAGGCUUGUUGUCUCCAGCGACUUUCGGUAGUGUUACCGGUUAUUUUUCUGUCAAUGUAUCUUGUUUGUAUUAUAGAAAAAUAACUAUGUAAUUCGGCACUUGAGGAGGACCCAAAGUGGGAACCCAAAAGGUCGAAACGUUGUGCGUUUAACAUCUAAUAAAUAGCCGGGAUUGGUCGUGCUACUAUUCAGUUGCCUUUCAUUAGUUUCUAAGAGUGGAUAUCCAGAAUAUAUGUAACAAUGCCAGGCUGUUGCGUUCCGAGUUGCAAGAACUCAUCCGCUAAAAGAUAUUUGAUGAAACAUUUCCCAAGAAAUCCUGAAAUAAGGGCUCAAUGGACGUUAAAUAUUCCGCGACCAAAUUGGAUACCCACGACUUAUAGCUGUAUUUGUGAGAUGCAUUUUUUACCAGAGAUGUAGGAAAAAACACGGGUUGACGGAAAAAGAAUUUUGAAGCAUAAUGCAAUACCAACCGUUUUUUAAACAAUCCCUAAAGCAGUUGUUGCAUGUACAAAUACUGAAUUAAUGCAAUUAGACAUGGAUGACAGAUUGAAUCUCGUCAGCAAUAAAAUGUCCAUUGAAAUUCCUCACGAACCUACUGAAUCUAUCAUUGAGGUUAUGGAAAAUGAAUCAAAUCUAUCUUCAUCUCGCCUUAAUUGUGAUAUUGAUUGGAAGAAAAAAUAUGAAACAUUCAAUGAGUUAUAUGAAAAACGUGAAAAGACUUAUCAUGAUGUUCUAAAAAAAUACAAUAAGUGUAACAUCCUUAAAGAAAAGGUGAAAAAGUUAAAUGCAGAAAAAAUAAGUUUACAUAAGCAAUGUGUAAACAAUAGAAAAUCACAGUCCAUUAUUAAAAACAUAUUUAAUGAUGAUCAAAUAAGAGCAUUGGUGAAUAAAUCAAAUCGAGGCUCUAAGUGGUCUGAAAAAACAAUUAAAAAAGCACUUCGACUGAAAUUCUCUUGCGGACUGAAUGGAUACAACGAACUUUUGGGACAACGUAUGCCUUUGCCAUCAGUGCGUACUUUACAAGAAAAACUAGAAACCCCACUUUGAAGAAGGAAUUUGCGAAGAAAUUUUCGAUAUUUUAAAAGAAAAAGUACGCGGCUUUGCAGAUGAUUUUCAGGUUAACCUUUUAUUCAUGUAUCCUUUCAAUAAAAUGAUAUGUGCGAAAUAAUAUCUA
Molecule: unclassified non-coding RNA, 1929 nt
Filed under: Ooceraea biroi (clonal raider ant)
Lineage: Eukaryota; Metazoa; Arthropoda; Insecta; Hymenoptera; Formicidae
Description: uncharacterized protein K02A2.6-like, transcript variant X4
Source: RNAcentral